AUUGAACGCUGGCGGCAGGCCUAACACAUGCAAGUCGCACGAGUGGCGGACGGGUGAGUAAUGUCUGGGAAACUGCCAGAUGGAGGUGGAUAACUACUGGAAACGGUAGCUAAUACCGCAUACCAUCGGAUGUGCCCAGAUGGGAUUAGCUAGUAGGUGGGGUAACGGCUGACCUAGGCAACGAUCCCUAGCUGGUCUGAGAGGAUGACCAGCCAAACUGGAACUGAGACACGGUCCAGACUCCUACGGGAGGAAGCAGUGGGGAAUAUUGCAAAAUGGGCGCAAGCCUGAUGCAGCCAUGCCGCGUGUAUGAAGAAGGCCUUCGGGUUGUAAAGUACUUUCAGCGGGGAGGCGUUACCCGCAGAAGAAGCACCGGCUAACUCCGUGCCAGCAGCCGCGGUAAUUC
This 406-nucleotide ribosomal RNA is filed under the name uncultured bacterium. RNAcentral describes it as "partial 16S ribosomal RNA". It matches the Rfam family "Bacterial small subunit ribosomal RNA", at positions 30 to 526 of the family's 1533-position model. The record is from RNAcentral.